GGGUGGCGAGUGGCGAACGGGUGAGUAAUGUAUCGGAACGUGCCCAGUAGUGGGGGAUAACUACUCGAAAGAGUGGCUAAUACCGCAUGAGAUCUCUGGAUGAAAGUGGGGGACCGCAAGGCCUCACGCUACUGGAGCGGCCGAUAUCAGAUUAGGUUGUAGGUGGGGUAGAGGCCUACCAAGCCUGCGAUCUGUAGCUGGUCUGAGAGGACGACCAGCCACACUGGGACUGAGACACGGCCCAGACUCCUACGGGAGGCAGCAGUGGGGAAUUUUGGACAAUGGGCGCAAGCCUGAUCCAGCAAUGCCGCGUGCAGGAUGAAGGCCUUCGGGUUGUAAACUGCUUUUGUACGGAACGAAAAGGCUCUGGUUAAUACCUGGGGUCCAUGACGGUACCGUAAGAAUAAGCACCGGCUAACUACGUGCCAGCAGCCGCGGUAAUACGUAGGGUGCAAGCGUUAAUCGGAAUUACUGGGCGUAAAGCGUGCGCAGGCGGUUUUGUAAGACAGAGGUGAAAUCCCCGGGCUCAACCUGGGAACUGCCUUUGUGACUGCAAGGCUGGAGUACGGCAGAGGGGGAUGGAAUUCCGCGUGUAGCAGUGAAAUGCGUAGAUAUGCGGAGGAACACCGAUGGCGAAGGCAAUCCCCUGGGCCUGUACUGACGCUCAUGCACGAAAGCGUGGGGAGCAAACAGGAUUAGAUAUCCUGGUAGUCCACGCCCUAAACGAUGUCAACUGGUUGUUGGGUAUUUGUUUACUCAGUAACGAAGCUAAC
This 773-nucleotide ribosomal RNA is filed under the name uncultured Allobrachymonas sp. RNAcentral's name for it is "bacterial SSU rRNA". It matches the Rfam family "Bacterial small subunit ribosomal RNA", at positions 86 to 856 of the family's 1533-position model. The record is from RNAcentral. Lineage: Bacteria; Pseudomonadati; Pseudomonadota; Betaproteobacteria; Burkholderiales; Comamonadaceae.